CGCCAAAAUAAAGAGCCUUGAGUACUAGAAGAAAAGCACCUAGAUCUAACAAAAUUAAAUGAAUACCCAAAAUCGUAGUCAUUUUAUUUCUAUCGGUUAG
This 100-nucleotide antisense RNA is filed under the name Brachypodium distachyon (stiff brome). RNAcentral describes it as "lncRNA IsrR". It matches the Rfam family "Antisense RNA which regulates isiA expression", at positions 88 to 187 of the family's 187-position model. The record is from Rfam by way of RNAcentral. Lineage: Eukaryota; Viridiplantae; Streptophyta; Magnoliopsida; Poales; Poaceae.